This 689-nucleotide long non-coding RNA is filed under the name Homo sapiens (human). RNAcentral's name for it is "HSALNT0385673". Lineage: Eukaryota; Metazoa; Chordata; Mammalia; Primates; Hominidae. The record is from RNAcentral.
UUUACAGCUAGGUAAGGCCUGGGGACAUGUGGAGUCAGCCAAGUCCCCUGGCUAUGCUGGAAAGUCAGACCUUAUCUGCACUUCUGACUGGUGUCUGUUCUAGGCUCCACACCUGGACACAAUUGGAGAAACUGGUUAUUUUACCAAGGCUUUGACUGGAAUGGCGUGCUUUCCUUUAAGGAAUCAAACUUGACUUAUAGAGCCAACCAAUAAAAGCCCCUUGGGAAAAGUGACCUCACACCUUGUCUAUGCAGUACCUGUACAGGGUUCCUGACCUGUGAUGUCAAAUUCCAGCAGAACAGCUGAUGCUAACCAGUUUGAAGACCCCCAGAGAGGAACAGAAUCAGCAUGAGAAUACAGCUUCUUCUUCAACCUGUCCCAUGACUUCACCCUGCACUCUAACCAAUGAAUGAUAUCUACACUUUGGCCCACUUCAAAACCUUUAAACGCCCUAACCCCACAAAUCCCUUAGGGAGUCAGAUUUGAGGUUUCCUCAUGUCUCGUCAUCUAGUGGCCCUACAAAUAAACCUCUUUCUCUACUGCAACCCAGUGUCUGUGCAUAUUGACUUGCUGUGGACAUGAGGCAAUAAACCUAUGACGGCUGCAUGCAUAAGCUUCUGUAUAAUGCUGCAAAAUGAAGAAAAAGUUUUGGUGGAUGCAGAAUGCAUGGCUCACAAUGGAACAAUCAC